AUAACACAGAUUUCUUAUCAAACAGUAUAAAUAUCUGAAUGCUCUGAGAUGGCCAUCUAUCUGUAGUUCGCACGAGUCAACAUGUCUAUUUUCACCGUUCUGUGUCUCUUCGCCGUCGUCGUUGCCGCUGUGGCACAAGACACAACAACAGCCAAGAGUUUCUUUUGCAAUGAUGACCGUGACUGCGAUCGCCACUGUACGGGAACACGUGGCUUCUGUAGCAAAGAUGACAACAUGUGCCACCACUGCGAGGCCUUGACCGCUUCCUCAUGUCGUUCUGAACUAGACUGUCUGCAGAGUUGCCGUCAUAACCACGAGCUCUUCGGCAUCUGUUACCGUGGCAACUGCAGAUGUUCCCACUUCGGAUAAACACAAAUGGAAAGAUUGAAGGACUGUGGCGGUGUCGGAAUUUCGUGAUUGUACUUAACAUAAUUAAAUCCUUGUUUCAUAAUACGUG
This is a long non-coding RNA of Liolophura sinensis, 457 nucleotides long. RefSeq lists it as uncharacterized. Lineage: Eukaryota; Metazoa; Mollusca; Polyplacophora; Chitonida; Chitonidae. The record is from RefSeq and is a predicted model, not a curated record. The transcript has 3 exons.